ACUGCAACUUAGUUUAUUUAGAACAGUUAACUUGCACUUAGCAAGAGAGUUAUCUCAGUAGC
This 62-nucleotide transfer RNA is filed under the name Aporrectodea longa. Its description in RNAcentral is "partial tRNA-Ala". The record is from RNAcentral. RNAcentral also lists the same sequence under 1 other name. Lineage: Eukaryota; Metazoa; Annelida; Clitellata; Crassiclitellata; Lumbricidae.